GGCCUACCAUGGUGGUAACGGGUAACGGGGUGUUAGGGCACGACACCGGAGAGGGAGCCUGAGAAACGGCUACCACAUCCAAGGAUGGCAGCAGGCGCGCAAAUUACCCAAUCCCGACACGGGGAGGUAGUGACAAUAAAUAACAAUACGGGGUCCUUUCGGGUUUCGUAAUUGGAAUGAGUACAAUUUAAAUCUCUUAACGAGGAACAAUUGGAGGGCAAGUCUGGUGCCAGCAGCCGCGGUAAUUCCAGCUCCAAUAGCGUAUAUUAAAGUUGUUGCCGUUAAAAAGCUCGUAGUUGAAUUUCGGGAUUAGUGCGCCGGUCGUGCCUUCGGUAUGUACUGGUGCUACUGGUUCCUACCUUCUGACGGACCGUCAUGUCAUUAAUUUGGUGUGGCGGGGAAUCAGGACUGUUACUUUGAAAAAAUUAGAGUGUUUAAAGCAGGCUCGCGCUUGAAUACAUUAGCAUGGAAUAAUGAAAUAGGACGUUCGAUCCUAUUUUGUUGGUUUCUAGGAUUGACGUAAUGAUUAAUAGGGAUAGUUGGGGGCAUUAGUAUUCAAUUGUCAGAGGUGAAAUUCUUGGAUUUAUUGAAAACUAACUACUGCGAAAGCAUUUGCCAAGGAUGUUUUCAUUAAUCAAGAACGAAAGUUAGGGGAUCGAAGACGAUCAGAUACCGUCGUAGUCUUAACCAUAAACUAUGCCGACUAGGGAUCGGAUGAUGUUAUUUUCAAUGACUCAUUCGGCGCCUUACGGGAAACCAAAGUGUUUGGGUUC
This 773-nucleotide ribosomal RNA is filed under the name uncultured Glomus. RNAcentral describes it as "SSU rRNA". It matches the Rfam family "Eukaryotic small subunit ribosomal RNA", at positions 338 to 1114 of the family's 1831-position model. The record is from RNAcentral. Lineage: Eukaryota; Fungi; Glomeromycota; Glomeromycetes; Glomerales; Glomeraceae.